Molecule: ribosomal RNA, 445 nt
Filed under: uncultured bacterium
Lineage: Bacteria
Description: bacterial SSU rRNA
Rfam family: Bacterial small subunit ribosomal RNA
Source: RNAcentral
CGGCGUGGAUAAGACAUGCAAGUCGAGCGCUGAUUACAGGGUAGCAAUAUUCUGUGGUCGGAGCGGCGCAAGGGUGCGUAACACGUGGGUAAUCUGCCAUGAAGUUUGGAAUAACUUGCUGAAAGGCGAGCUAAUACCGGAUGUGACAAUUGAGAGGCAUCUUCCGAUUGUCAAAGCUGGGGACCGUAAGGCCUGGCGCUUCAUGAUGAGCCCGCGGCCUAUCAGCUAGUUGGUGAGGUAACGGCUCACCAAGGCUAAGACGGGUAGCUGGUCUGAGAGGACGACCAGCCACACUGGAACUGAGACACGGUCCAGACACCUACGGGUGGCAGCAGUCGAGAAUUUUUCACAAUGGGCGCAAGCCUGAUGGAGCGACGCCGCGUGGGGGAUGAAUGGCUUCGGCCCGAAAGCCCCUGUCAUUUGCGAACAAAUUGGUUCAAUUAAC